CCUACGGGAGGCAGCAGUGGGGAAUAUUGGACAAUGGGCGAAAGCCUGAUCCAGCAAUGCCGCGUGAGUGAUGAAGGCCUUAGGGUCGUAAAGCUCUUUUACCCGGGAUGAUAAUGACAGUACCGGGAGAAUAAGCCCCGGCUAACUCCGUGCCAGCAGCCGCGGUAAUACGGAGGGGGCUAGCGUUGUUCGGAAUUACUGGGCGUAAAGCGUGCGUAGGCGGUUAUUCAAGUCAGAGGUGAAAGCCCGGGGCUCAACCCCGGAACGGCCUUUGAAACUAGGUAGCUAGAAUCUUGGAGAGGUCAGUGGAAUUCCGAGUGUAGAGGUGAAAUUCGUAGAUAUUCGGAAGAACACCAGUGGCGAAGGCGACUGACUGGACAAGUAUUGACGCUGAGGCACGAAAGCGUGGGGAGCAAACAGGAUUAGAUACCCUGGUAGUCCACGCCGUAAACGAUGAUAACUAGCUGUUCGGGUACUUGGUAUCUGAGUGGCGCAGCUAACGCAUUAAGUUAUCCGCCUGGGGAGUACGGUCGCAAGNUUAAAACUUAAAUGAAAUUGACGG
This 562-nucleotide ribosomal RNA is filed under the name uncultured bacterium. Its description in RNAcentral is "bacterial SSU rRNA". It matches the Rfam family "Bacterial small subunit ribosomal RNA", at positions 338 to 916 of the family's 1533-position model. The record is from RNAcentral.